GCGGAGGAAGGAAUGGGCAACGGUAGGUCAGUAUGCCCCGAAUAUCCCGGGCUACACGCGAGCUACAAUGGUUGGUACAAUGGGUAUCUACCCCGAAAGGGGACGGAAAAUCUCCUAAAACCAAUCUUAGUUCGGAUUGAGGGCUGCAACUCGCCCUCAUGAAGCUGGAAUCCGUAGUAAUCGCGUUUCAACAGAACGCGGUGAAUACGUCCCUGCUCCUU
RNAcentral lists this ribosomal RNA (221 nucleotides) under uncultured Methanosaeta sp. RNAcentral describes it as "partial 16S ribosomal RNA". It matches the Rfam family "Archaeal small subunit ribosomal RNA", at positions 1119 to 1338 of the family's 1478-position model. The record is from RNAcentral. Lineage: Archaea; Methanobacteriati; Methanobacteriota; Methanomicrobia; Methanotrichales; Methanotrichaceae.